UAAUACCAGCGACCCGAGUGGUCGGGACGUUUAUUGGGCCGUAAAGCAUCCGUAGCCGGUUCUACAAGUCUUCCGUUAAAUCCGACCUGCCGUUAACAGAACUGGGCUGUACGGAAGAUACUAUAGAGCUAGGAGGCGGGAGAGGCAAGCGGUACUCGAUGGGUAGGGUAAAUCCGUUGAUCCAUUGAAGACACCAGUGGCGAAGGCGG
Molecule: ribosomal RNA, 209 nt
Filed under: uncultured ammonia-oxidizing archaeon
Lineage: Archaea
Description: partial 16S ribosomal RNA
Rfam family: Archaeal small subunit ribosomal RNA
Source: RNAcentral